GAUGAACGCUGGCGGCGUGCCUAAUACAUGCAAGUCGAGCGAACAGACGAGGAGCUUGCUCCUCUGACGUUAGCGGCGGACGGGUGAGUAACACGUGGAUAACCUACCUAUAAGACUGGGAUAACUUCGGGAAACCGGAGCUAAUACCGGAUAACAUGUUGAACCGCAUGGUUCAACAGUGAAAGACGGUUUUGCUGUCACUUAUAGAUGGAUCCGCGCCGCAUUAGCUAGUUGGUAAGGUAACGGCUUACCAAGGCAACGAUGCGUAGCCGACCUGAGAGGGUGAUCGGCCACACUGGAACUGAGACACGGUCCAGACUCCUACGGGAGGCAGCAGUAGGAAAUCUUCCGCAAUGGGCGAAAGCCUGACGGAGCAACGCCGCGUGAGUGAAGAAGGUCUUCGGAUCGUAAAACUCUGUUAUUAGGGAAGAACAAAUGUGUAAGUAACUAUGCACGUCUUGACGGUACCUAAUCAGAAAGCCACGGCUAACUACGUG
Molecule: ribosomal RNA, 497 nt
Filed under: uncultured bacterium
Lineage: Bacteria
Description: partial 16S ribosomal RNA
Rfam family: Bacterial small subunit ribosomal RNA
Source: RNAcentral